UUCCGGUUGAUCCUGCCGGAGGUCACUGCUAUUGGGAUUCGAUUAAGCCAUGCGAGUCGAGAGGGUUCGGCCCUCGGCUGACUGCUCAGUAACACGUGGAUAAUCUGCCCUUGGGUGGAGAAUAAUCUCGGGAAACUGAGAAUAAUACUCCAUAGAUCUAGGAGGCUGGAAUGCAUCUAGGUUGAAAGCUUCGGCGCCUAAGGAUGAGUCUGCGGGCUAUUAGAUUGUAGUCAGGGUAAUGACCUGACUAGUCUACGAUGGCUACGGGUUGUGAGAGCAAUCGCCCGGAGAUGAUAUCUGAGACACGAUAUCAGGUCCUACGGGAUGCAGCAGGCGCGAAAACUUCACACUGUGCGAAAGCACGAUGAGGGAAUCCCAAGUGCCAGCUCGUAAGAGUUGGCUGUUUUUUUGUCUAAAAAACAGAGAGAGUAAGAGCUGGGUAGGACGGGUGCCAGCCGCCGCGGUAAUACCUGCAGCUCGAGUGGUGACCGCUAUUAUUGGGCCUAAAACGUUCGUAGCCGGUUUCGUAAAUGCUUGGGUAAAUCGUUUGGCUUAACCAAACGAAUUCCGGGUAGACUACGAGACUUGAGAUCGGGAGAGGCUAGAGGUACUCCUGGGGUAGAGGUGAAAUUCUGUAAUCCUAGGGGGACCACCAGUGGCGAAGGCGUCUAGCUAGAACGAGUCUGACGGUGAGGAACGAAGCCCUGGGGCGCAAACGGGAUUAGAUACCCCGGUAGUCCAGGGUGUAAACGCUGCUCGCUUGAUGUUAGAUAGGCUCCGAGCCUAACUAGCGUCGGAAAGAAGUUGUUAAGCGAGCUGCCUGGGGAGUACGGUCGCAAGGCUGAAACUUAAAGGAAUUGGCGGGGGAGCACGGCAACGGGAGGAGCGUGCGGUUUAAUUGGAAUCAACGCCGGA
RNAcentral lists this ribosomal RNA (915 nucleotides) under uncultured archaeon. RNAcentral describes it as "bacterial SSU rRNA". It matches the Rfam family "Archaeal small subunit ribosomal RNA", at positions 1 to 922 of the family's 1478-position model. The record is from RNAcentral.